RNAcentral lists this ribosomal RNA (1386 nucleotides) under Triticum aestivum (bread wheat). RNAcentral describes it as "partial small subunit ribosomal RNA". The record is from RNAcentral. Lineage: Eukaryota; Viridiplantae; Streptophyta; Magnoliopsida; Poales; Poaceae.
AUGUCGUCAUGGGUGGUGGAUAUGGAGAAGAAGGUCCAGGGCGCUGAGCCGCCGGCGAAGGUGGAGAAAUGGCGGAAACACUGCAUCUUCCGCGUCCCGUUGCGCUUCAAGGUGAUCGAUGGCAGGGUGAGCAGCGUAUACAAACCGCAGACAGUAUCUUUGGGCCCAUUCCACCACGACGACAAGGAGCUGAAACCCAUAGAGGAGCACAAGCUGAGGGCCGUACAUCACCUCCUCCAACGGGACAGCUGCAAGACCACCCUUUCCGAGCUCGUCGCCACCAUGGAGAAGGUGGGUGAGGAGCUUGAGGAUGCCUACAUGGAACUGGGUGAUGAGUGGCGGGGCGAGGAGAACAGGGGCAAGUUCCUGGAGAUGAUGAUCAUCGACGGUUGCUUCCUACUGGAGGUGAUGAGGACGGCCAUAGGUGGGAAGAACACCAUUCCCAAGGACUACGAGCAGGGUGACCCUGUCUUCAGCUGGCAUGGCAUCCAGCACAUCAAGCCGUUCGUCCAACGCGACAUGCUGCUGGUCGAGAACCAGCUGCCACUCAGGUUGCUCGAGAAAAUCGUCACCGCAGAGAGCGGCAGAUUUCCGAGUGCGUCUUCGACCAAUUCCAUGGUGCUUAAAUUCCUGGAAGGCAAAGAUAAACCCGAAGGGUCCGAUGAGUUGGGACUCCACCCGCUCGACAUAUACCGAAGGAGCCAGCUCAAGGGCCAUCUGAGGCCUUAUCAGAGGGACAGAGGUGGCGUGGAGAACACCAUACCGACAGCCAAUGCCGCCAAUGCUCGUCUCGACGGAGUGGUGCCCCGAUCGGCGUGGAAAUUGUGUGAGGCGGGGAUCCGGUUCAUGCCCAGCAAGACAGCCUUCCUCGACGACAUCAACCUGGACAAUGGCAGGCUCUACAUGCCCAAGUUCCAACUCGACGACUCCACCGCCUACAAGUUCCACAACAUGAUGGCGUUCGAGGCGAUGCACGUCAGCACUGAAAAUGACGUGACGGCCUACGCGCUCUUUGUCAAGGACCUCGUGGACUCCGCCCAAGACGUGCGCCUGCUUGUGAAUAAAAGGAUCCUUGAGCAUGACCUCGCCGAUGACGACGAUGCCGUGGUGAAGCUCUUCAACGGCCUCACUAGGGAUGUGUACAAGAACUGGGAGAGUAACUUGUGCCGCGUGCGUGAGGACGUGCAGUACCACUACAUCGGCAACCCCCCACGCAUCCUCAUGUACAAGUGGUGGGUAAACCUCAAGAACAGGUACUUCAAGAGCCCGUGGACGCUCCUUGCCUUCAUCACCGCAAUCUUGCUCGUCGUCGGAGACAUCAUGCAGGCUGUGUUUGCAGUCUUAUCCUAUUAUAAACCUGACAAGGAUAAGCCCAAAAUGCCUUAA